RNAcentral lists this ribosomal RNA (400 nucleotides) under uncultured bacterium. RNAcentral's name for it is "bacterial SSU rRNA". It matches the Rfam family "Bacterial small subunit ribosomal RNA", at positions 355 to 769 of the family's 1533-position model. The record is from RNAcentral.
UGGGGAAUCUUGCGCAAUGGGCGAAAGCCUGACGCAGCAACGCCGCGUGAACGAUGAAGGCCUUCGGGUCGUAAAGUUCUGUCAGGGGGGAAGAAGAUCUGACGGUACCCCCGGAGGAAGCCCCGGCUAACUUCGUGCCAGCAGCCGCGGUAAUACGAAGGGUGCGAGCGUUAUUCGGAAUAACUGGGCGUAAAGGGCGCGUAGGCGGUUUUCUAAGUUGACGGUUAAAAGCCAUGGCUUAACCAUGGAGAUGCCGGCGAUACUGGAAUGACUAGAGGGUAGUAGAGAGGAGUGGAAUUCUCGGAGUAGCGGUAAAAUGCGUAGAUCUCGAGAGGAACACCGAUGGCGAAGGCAGCUCCUUGGGCUACAACUGACGCUAAGGCGCGAAAGCGUGGGGAGC